UGAGGAAUAUUGCGCAAUGGGGGCAACCCUGACGCAGCAACGCCGCGUGAGUGAGGAAGGUUUUCGGACCGUAAAGCUCUGUCGAGCGGGAAGAAAUGUAUCGUGGCUAAUAUCCAUGAUAUUUGACGGUACCGCUAAAGGAAGCACCGGCUAACUCCGUGCCAGCAGCCGCGGUAAUACGGGGGGUGCAAGCGUUGUUCGGAAUUAUUGGGCGUAAAGAGCGUGUAGGCGGCCGAAUAAGUCAGAUGUGAAAUCCCUGGGCUUAACCCAGGAAGUGCAUUUGAAACUAUUCAGCUUGAGUAGGGGAGAGGAAAGUGGAAUUCCUGGUGUAGAGGUGAAAUUCGUAGAUAUCAGGAGGAACACCGGUGGCGAAGGCGACUUUCUGGCCCUAUACUGACGCUGAGACGCGAGAGCGUGGGUAGCAAACAG
This 429-nucleotide ribosomal RNA is filed under the name uncultured bacterium. RNAcentral describes it as "bacterial SSU rRNA". It matches the Rfam family "Bacterial small subunit ribosomal RNA", at positions 355 to 775 of the family's 1533-position model. The record is from RNAcentral.